GCCCAGGGUGCUGGGUGUGACCCAGUGUAGGUCAGCCCCGCACUUCGGGGUCCCCGCGCCUCUACCCAACUCCUCGCCCGAGCCCAAGGAGACGAUCGCUUGUGUCGGGGCUGCGUGGGCGGCGAGGGCGCAGCGUGGGCCCCGACUGCACCUCUGUCCGGGCAGGAGCAGGGCGGACCCGACCGCCCCGGUCCCGAGCUACGAGCAUCUCCGCGCUUGUCCGUGACCUCGUGGUUUCUGCACCAAGCAACGCACACGCGAAAAGCCGGCGGGGAAGCACACGCGUCCCUGGCUCAAGCCCGAGUUCACUGCUUGCCGUGUUCCCGCAGCUGCGGAAAUUUGCCGAAGCAUGGAAAGUCAGACUAGUUUUAAUUUUCCUCAAGAAAUCCAGACGGCUGGUGCGUUACUAUCAACGGUUUGAAAUGUGGGUCGUUCUGGUCAUUUCAUGGCACUCUGGAGGUGGAUUGUGA
This 470-nucleotide long non-coding RNA is filed under the name Chinchilla lanigera (long-tailed chinchilla). Its description in RNAcentral is "lncRNA (ENSCLAG00000028989.1)". Lineage: Eukaryota; Metazoa; Chordata; Mammalia; Rodentia; Chinchillidae. The record is from RNAcentral.